CUGGUGUGACAUCAUCGGGUCACAUGACUAGGAAGUUAUAUAGAAUGUCACAACAAUUGUACAACAAAUGUACUUUUUUUUUUCAAAUAUAAGUUGUUUAUCAUAUGCUGCAUGUAUUUAUAAAUACAUUGUAUGUGAUUUCAGCUCUUUAGAUAAAACCACCACAAAGGUAAAUAUAUUUAUUUCAAUAUGACAUUCACUUUACUUACAUAUUUAUAACAGAUAUAUAAAUAAUAUAAAAGUUAAUAAUUGUAUUAAUCUAUACUUAAUCUAUUUACUAACAUCAACUACUCAUGAAAAAGGAUCGUGUUUUAAUGUUUAAUGGAAUAAUGCACAUAUUUUUGUUGUGCAUUUUGCACUUUUGAGACACUCCCUAACUUGAAACGCCCAAGUGGGGAUCAUUGUGAGGACUUUUUCACUUCUGAUUCUAAAAACAAUAACAUCACCUAUUAAUAUUAUAAUUAACUUUUGAUACUAGGAUUUAUAAUGUGAUUUGAACGAGAUACAGCAUCAUCCACGUCUUUAUAUGCGAUUAUAUAUCAAUUAACACUGAAGAAAAGAGCGAAUGUCUAACGAAUGUCCAACAUAAAACCAACUUUACCGCACCGGCUACUAUUUAUUUUCUCUCUCAUGUGUGGGGCUCUGUAAAUAGACAACGGUGGAUACAAAUUCUCCAGCAACAGGCCUCCUGUACUUUAAUUCGGCAACUUUUAUUCAUGCCACCGCGACAAACUCAGAGGUAGCCUACUGGAUGAGAGAUGAGGGACAAGGAGUGAUGUCAUCUGCUUGAUCAGAGCGGGGCUGCAAAGACACAAGGAAGCCCACCAUGGUUGUCCCACUCAUCUCUCCCAUACUCUCAUUGAUCGCAAUUGUACGUCAUUAAUUCUUCCAGAGGUACAAUCAAUCAGCGAGGCACUGAACUAACUACUCUGGAUACUUACACAAAACCAAACCAACAGUGUGAAGCAGGGGAAUUUCUUGGCUGGAAUCAGGGGAAUUUGCUUCCAAAUAAGGAGUUCCUAUCUGUGGAGGUAAUACAACACACCCAAUUGCAAAUUUGUGUCCUAACAAAAGCGAGAUUUAUUUGGUGUAUAUACACACCUUAAAAUAGUAUCGAGGUGUUGUAUAGAAACAACUUCAGAGGAAUUUCCAUUGAAAUGAGGAGACCCUGUAGGUGGGGUAAUACAUCACACCUGAUCCCAAUCUCGUGCCCUAACCAAGGCAAGACUAUGGAAACAUGAAUACAAAACAGGAUUCAGGCAGGCUCAACAGUAGUCUCAGGGUGUGUCUCAAUCAGCUCCCUGGUUCAGUAUGGGCACUGAUCAGGGAGUCAGCCAUUUAGGGGUUGUCUCGAUCACAAAAUCACUCCCUAAAAAGUCUCACAAUACACUGUGAAAACCAGGGAGCAUCAAUGCUCACUGUGUUCCCUUAAUGGAAGUUCUGAAGCAGGAAACAAAUCACGUGAGUCAACUCAAUACACAUAAUGACACUUGAUUUUUUUUUAACUAUUAUAGAAUUUAUCAUUUCAGCAUAAACAUACAAUAUAAAUAAAAUACAUUAUUUAAAUAAAGAUUGAAAGAGUUUAGUCAUGACAUUGAAGUUGUGCGACCAUGGAGUUAUUUAUAGAUUAACAUUAUAGCUUUUCAAUUCUGGCUACUGUAUUUAGACUUCAAACUUCAUAAAACUUGUUUAUUUGCGUCCAUCUUAAAUGGACAAAAUGUGUAAGAAUCAUAAACUUUGUUGGUCACAGGGCUUAUUUUCUACAAUAAUCCAAAACCCAAUAAAUAAUUCUACUGGCUUUUUGUCGAGGGAACGAGUUUGAUGCUAACUCUCGGGUUGGCCUGCAAAAAUGUCAUCCCUGCAGCACACCUAUGGAAGGUGCGUUUGAGCACAUUGCAUUGCAUACAGCAUAUUUUGGUCAGUAUAAUAAUGAAGAUCAUCAAGUUAUUCUGUUCAUAGAGAAAAUGUGCAAUAUAUAUAAUGCAGAAAUAGUAAGAGUAUGAUAGUAUGCUAUUUUGAACAUAAGUACCAUUAACAACUAAAACGGUCCUCUACUCCACCAUGUUAAAAGAUCAUCCUAACACAACUCUUGUAUCAAAAUUGUCUCAGAAGGUCCCAUGCAUAAUCAAAGUGCCUCUAACUAUAGUAUUUGAGAAAAUGUGGAAGAGCAAAUGCUCAGGAGAACUGCAAAUAACAAUUAAAAAGAAACAAAUAGUUCAUAUUCCAUGUGUAUAUGCUGUAUUAAUAGGCAAAUUGAUCACUCGCAGUCUGUAAAUGACAAUGGUGUCAUUAAAAGUAUUCCAAUUGAUUUCAUGUUUUGAUAACUUCAAUCACAUACUCUCUCUCCAAAACCCACAUCCAAAGACAUGUCAGCCAACCCAAUGCCAGCAAAGAAAAUAUUGACAGGAAGAAAGUGUCUCUGAUUGGCUAAAAAAAAAAAAAGAAAAAAAAAAAGGGUACGCCACUCACCUGACUCUUUUUUUCCAGGUAGACAUUCUUAAAAAAAAAAAAAAUCGCUUGCAGUACGUAUAAUGAUAAUCAAUGAGAAAUUAUAUAUAUAAAAAAAAAUCAUGCUUUAUAUAUAGUGACAUUAAUGAAGAUCACUGUCUGCAUUCAUUCUACAGUCAUCCCAAAAGGCCUUAUUCAUUUCCUUACAACAUUGGUUUUAAUGCAUUUUCUCAGCAGAAGGUAUCCCAUGUUAAAAUUUGUCAGAUUUUACAUUAAAGGAGAAACCUUUCCACCACUUUUUGCUAAACUGUGAUGCUUUUUGAUGCAUUCUUACACACUUAUUUAACCGGUCUUCUAUCACCUUGCAAUCCAUCCCGCUCUUUAAGGUCACAAAACUCUGGACUUUUGGUUGUACCUAGGAUAUCUAAGUCCAGCCUAAAGGAGGGAGAGUGUUUUCACAUUUGGCUCCUGAACUCUGGAAUAGCCUUCCUGAUGAUGUUCGGGGCUCAGAGACACUAUCCCAGUUUAAAAAGAUUAAAGACAGAUCUCCUUAGCCAAGCAAUCACAUAAUCUUAUAACCUUGUACUCCAGUUAUAUCAGAUCAAAUGCACAUGAUUACCCUUGCUUGAAAUGUAAUGAACAGCAGCUAUGCUACUUAUUUUCCAUUUGCUUUUCUGUUUUCUGUUCAUCUCAGGAUGCCCAUCCCAAGGUAACUAGAAAGUACAUCAGCUUCAUUCGAUCCAGCCUCUUAUGAAGACUUCAGAUGCCCAAAUACCCGUGAAGAGAUGGCCCCAACCCCUGCGAGGACUUCAGAUGACAUCAACUCUGAAUCAACAUGCACCAAUGCUAAAUUUUCUAUAUAUUGUAAUCAUUAUGUUCACAACUUGUAAUAAUUGCUUGAGUGAGCUCAUUGUUUCUGCCUAAAAUUAAUACAUUAUGUUAGCUAACUGCGUGAUUUGUAUGUACAUUUCUGAAAAACAUUACUUGGACGGUCACCUCUGAUAACAGAUCACUCUAAAUUGUAAUGUAGUCACAUGUAUUUUCUGUAAAGCUGCUUUGAAAUGGUAUGUAUUGUGAAAAGCGCUAUACAAAUAAAUGUGAAUUGAAUUAUCAAGAAGUACGUCAAAAGUUCAUGUGUAAAGAAACUGCUAACAAUGCUAACAACAAAUAAAUUGCUAACAUUUACCUGCUAGCUAACUGUAUGAAUUUGAUAGUGUAUACUCUACCUAAUCAGAAAGAAAUGGUUGGUUUGUUUAGCCUGUAAGUUAC
Long non-coding RNA from Megalobrama amblycephala (Wuchang bream), 3717 nucleotides. RefSeq lists it as uncharacterized. NCBI's taxonomy places the organism in Eukaryota, Metazoa, Chordata, Actinopteri, Cypriniformes, Xenocyprididae. The transcript has 3 exons. The record is from RefSeq and is a predicted model, not a curated record.